Molecule: ribosomal RNA, 410 nt
Filed under: Clostridioides difficile
Lineage: Bacteria; Bacillati; Bacillota; Clostridia; Peptostreptococcales; Peptostreptococcaceae
Description: bacterial LSU rRNA
Rfam family: Bacterial large subunit ribosomal RNA
Source: RNAcentral
GGGAGUGAAAUAGAACCUGAAACCCUGCACUUACAAGCUGUGGAAGCACAUUUCUUGUGUGACCGCGUACUUUUUGUAGAACGGGCCAACGAGUUACGUUAAGUAGCAAGGUUAAGCACUUAAGGUGCGGAGCCGUAGCGAAAGCGAGUUUUAACUGAGCGUUCAGUUACUUGACGUAGACCCGAAACCGGGCGACCUACCCAGGAGCAGGAUGAAGCGAAAGUAAAAUUUCGUGGAGGUCCGAACCCACGAGCGUUGAAAAGCUCGGGGAUGACUUGUGGGUAGCGGUGAAAUUCCAAUCGAGCCCGGAGAUAGCUGGUUCUCCCCGAAAUAGCUUUAGGGCUAGCCUCAAGGUGAGAGAUACGGAGGUAGAGCACUGAAUGUCCUAGGGGGUAUUGCACCUACCGAAG